GGGCCCGCACAAGCGGUGGAGCAUGUGGUUUAAUUCGAUGCAACGCGAAGAACCUUACCUGGUCUUGACAUACACAGAAUCUUGUAGAGAUACGAGAGUGCCUUCGGGAAUUGUGAUACAGGUGCUGCAUGGCUGUCGUCAGCUCGUGUCGUGAGAUGUUGGGUUAAGUCCCGCAACGAGCGCAACCCUUGUCCUUAGUUACCAGCGGGUUAAGCCGGGAACUCUAAGGAUACUGCCAGUGACAAACUGGAGGAAGGCGGGGACGACGUCAAGUCAUCAUGGCCCUUACGACCAGGGCUACACACGUGCUACAAUGGUAGGUACAGAGGGCAGCUACACAGCGAUGUGAUGCGAAUCUACAAAACCGGUCUCAGUUCGGAUCGCAGUCUGCAACUCGACUGCGUGAAGCUGGAAUCGCUAGUAAUCG
Molecule: ribosomal RNA, 427 nt
Filed under: uncultured bacterium
Lineage: Bacteria
Description: bacterial SSU rRNA
Rfam family: Bacterial small subunit ribosomal RNA
Source: RNAcentral